This 65-nucleotide ribosomal RNA is filed under the name Ligilactobacillus agilis. RNAcentral's name for it is "Lactobacillus agilis partial 16S ribosomal RNA". It matches the Rfam family "Bacterial small subunit ribosomal RNA", at positions 1 to 61 of the family's 1533-position model. Lineage: Bacteria; Bacillati; Bacillota; Bacilli; Lactobacillales; Lactobacillaceae. The record is from RNAcentral.
AUUCUAAAAUGAGAGUUUGAUCCUGGCUCAGGACGAACGCUGGCGGCGUGCCUAAUACAUGCAAG